This 903-nucleotide ribosomal RNA is filed under the name uncultured organism. RNAcentral describes it as "bacterial SSU rRNA". It matches the Rfam family "Bacterial small subunit ribosomal RNA", at positions 1 to 917 of the family's 1533-position model. The record is from RNAcentral.
UGGAUCCAGACUUUGAUCAUGGCUCAGGACGAACGCUGGCGGCGCGCCUAACACAUGCAAGUCGAACGAGAGAUGAAGAGCUUGCUCUUCAAAUCGAGUGGCGAACGUGUGAGUAACGCGUGAGGAACCUGCCUCAAAGAGGGGGACAACAGUUGGAAACGACUGCUAAUACCGCAUAAGCCCACGGCUCGGCAUCGAGCAGAGGGAAAAGGAGCAAUCCGCUUUGAGAUGGCCUCGCGUCCGAUUAGCUAGUUGGUGAGGUAAUGGCCCACCAAGGCGACGAUCGGUAGCCGGACUGAGAGGUUGAACGGCCACAUUGGGACUGAGACACGGCCCAGACUCCUACGGGAGGCAGCAGUGGGGAAUAUUGCACAAUGGGGGAAACCCUGAUGCAGCGACGCCGCGUGGAGGAAGAAGGUCUUCGGAUUGUAAACUCCUGUUGUUGAGGAAGAUAAUGACGGUACUCAACAAGGAAGUGACGGCUAACUACGUGCCAGCAGCCGCGGUAAAACGUAGGUCACAAGCGUUGUCCGGAAUUACUGGGUGUAAAGGGAGCGCAGGCGGGAGAACAAGUUGGAAGUGAAAUCCAUGGGCUCAACCCAUGAACUGCUUUCAAAACUGUUUUUCUUGAGUAGUGCAGAGGUAGGCGGAAUUCCCGAUGUAGCGGUGGAAUGCGUAGAUAUCGGGAGGAACACCAGUGGCGAAGGCGGCCUACUGGGCACCAACUGACGCUGAGGCUCGAAAGUGUGGGUAGCAAACAGGAUUAGAUACCCUGGUAGUCCACACCGUAAACGAUGAUUACUAGGUGUUGGAGGAUUGACCCCUUCAGUGCCGCAGUUAACACAAUAAGUAAUCCACCUGGGGAGUACGACCGCAAGGUUGCAACUCAAAUGAAUUGACGGA